This 468-nucleotide ribosomal RNA is filed under the name uncultured bacterium. Its description in RNAcentral is "partial 16S ribosomal RNA". It matches the Rfam family "Bacterial small subunit ribosomal RNA", at positions 28 to 507 of the family's 1533-position model. The record is from RNAcentral.
GACGAACGCUGGCGGCGUGCUUAACACAUGCAAGUCGAACGGAAAGGCCCUGCUUUUGUGGGGUGCUCGAGUGGCGAACGGGUGAGUAACACGUGAGUAACCUGCCCUUGACUUUGGGAUAACUUCAGGAAACUGGGGCUAAUACCGGAUAGGAGCUCCUGCUGCAUGGUGGGGGUUGGAAAGAUUCGGCGGUUGGGGAUGGACUCGCGGCUUAUCAGCUUGUUGGUGGGGUAGUGGCUUACCAAGGCUUUGACGGGUAGCCGGCCUGGGAGGGUGACCGGCCACAUUGGGACUGAGAUACGGCCCAGACUCCUACGGGAGGCAGCGGUGGGGAAUAUUGCGCAAUGGGCGGACGCCUGAUGCAGCAGCGCCGCGUGCGGGAUGACGGCCUUCGGGUUGUGAACCGCUUUCGCCUGUGACGAAGCGUGAGUGACGGUAAUGGGUAAAGAAGCACCGGCUAACUACGUG